Pelobates cultripes (western spadefoot toad) is the source of this 397-nucleotide non-coding RNA. The record is from the annotation of a GenBank genome assembly. Lineage: Eukaryota; Metazoa; Chordata; Amphibia; Anura; Pelobatidae.
GUGUAUGUGUGUUUGUCAGUAAGAGUGUAUGUGUUUGUCAGUGAGUGUGUAUGUGUGUUUGUCAGUGAAAGUGUAUGUGUCAGUGAGAGUGUAUAUGUGUGUUUGUCAGUGAGUAUGUAUGUGUUUGUCAGGUAGUGUGUAUGUGUGUUUGUCAGUAAGAGUGUAUGUGUUUGUCAGUGAGUGUGUAUGUGUAUUUGUCAGUGAGAGUAUAAAUGUGUUUGUCAGUGAGAGUGUAUAUGUGUUUGUCAGUGGGUUUGUAUGUGUUUGUCAGUGAGUGUGUAUGUGUUUUUGUCAGUGAGAGUGUAUAUGUGUUUGUCAGCGAUUUUGUAUGGGUGCUUGUCAGUGAGAGUGUAUGUGUGUUUGUCAGUGAGUGUGUGUAUGUGUUUGUCAGUGAGAG